GGGGUAAUGGCCUACCAAGGCGACGACGGGUAGCCGGCCUGAGAGGGCGACCGGCCACACUGGGACUGAGACACGGCCCAGACUCCUACGGGAGGCAGCAGUGGGGAAUAUUGCACAAUGGGCGAAAGCCUGAUGCAGCGACGCCGCGUGAGGGAUGACGGCCUUCGGGUUGUAAACCUCUUUCAGCAGGGAAGAAGCGAAAGUGACGGUACCUGCAGAAGAAGCGCCGGCUAACUACGUGCCAGCAGCCGCGGUAAUACGUAGGGCGCAAGCGUUGUCCGGAAUUAUUGGGCGUAAAGAGCUCGUAGGCGGCUUGUCACGUCGGAUGUGAAAGCCCGGGGCUUAACCCCGGGUCUGCAUUCGAUACGGGCUAGCUAGAGUGUGGUAGGGGAGAUCGGAAUUCCUGGUGUAGCGGUGAAAUGCGCAGAUAUCAGGAGGAACACCGGUGGCGAAGGCGGAUCUCUGGGCCAUUACUGACGCUGAGGAGCGAAAGCGUGGGGAGCGAACAGGAUUAGAUACCCUGGUAGUCCACGCCGUAAACGUUGGGAACUAGGUGUUGGCGACAUCCACGUCGUCG
Molecule: ribosomal RNA, 577 nt
Filed under: Streptomyces sp.
Lineage: Bacteria; Bacillati; Actinomycetota; Actinomycetes; Kitasatosporales; Streptomycetaceae
Description: bacterial SSU rRNA
Rfam family: Bacterial small subunit ribosomal RNA
Source: RNAcentral